RNAcentral lists this ribosomal RNA (2825 nucleotides) under Klebsiella pneumoniae. RNAcentral's name for it is "partial 23S ribosomal RNA". It matches the Rfam family "Bacterial large subunit ribosomal RNA". The record is from RNAcentral. Lineage: Bacteria; Pseudomonadati; Pseudomonadota; Gammaproteobacteria; Enterobacterales; Enterobacteriaceae.
GGGUUGUGAGGUUAAGCGACUAAGCGUACACGGUGGAUGCCCUGGCAGUCAGAGGCGAUGAAGGACGUGCUAAUCUGCGAAAAGCGUCGGUAAGGUGAUAUGAACCGUUACAGCCGGCGAUGUCCGAAUGGGGAAACCCAGUGCAAUUCGUUGCACUAUCGUUAACUGAAUACAUAGGUUAACGAGGCGAACCGGGGGAACUGAAACAUCUAAGUACCCCGAGGAAAAGAAAUCAACCGAGAUUCCCCCAGUAGCGGCGAGCGAACGGGGAGCAGCCCAGAGUCUGAAUCAGCUUGUGUGUUAGUGGAACGGUCUGGAAAGUCCGACGGUACAGGGUGAUAGUCCCGUACACCAAAAUGCACAGGCUGUGAACUCGAAGAGUAGGGCGGGACACGUGGUAUCCUGUCUGAAUAUGGGGGGACCAUCCUCCAAGGCUAAAUACUCCUGACUGACCGAUAGUGAACCAGUACCGUGAGGGAAAGGCGAAAAGAACCCCGGCGAGGGGAGUGAAAAAGAACCUGAAACCGUGUACGUACAAGCAGUGGGAGCACCUUCGGGUGUGACUGCGUACCUUUUGUAUAAUGGGUCAGCGACUUAUAUUCUGUAGCAAGGUUAACCGUAUAGGGGAGCCGCAGGGAAACCGAGUCUUAACUGGGCGUUAAGUUGCAGGGUAUAGACCCGAAACCCGGUGAUCUAGCCAUGGGCAGGUUGAAGGUUGGGUAACACUAACUGGAGGACCGAACCGACUAAUGUUGAAAAAUUAGCGGAUGACUUGUGGCUGGGGGUGAAAGGCCAAUCAAACCGGGAGAUAGCUGGUUCUCCCCGAAAGCUAUUUAGGUAGCGCCUCGUGAACUCAUCUUCGGGGGUAGAGCACUGUUUCGGCUAGGGGGUCAUCCCGACUUACCAACCCGAUGCAAACUACGAAUACCGAAGAAUGUUAUCACGGGAGACACACGGCGGGUGCUAACGUCCGUCGUGAAGAGGGAAACAACCCAGACCGCCAGCUAAGGUCCCAAAGUCAUGGUUAAGUGGGAAACGAUGUGGGAAGGCACAGACAGCCAGGAUGUUGGCUUAGAAGCAGCCAUCAUUUAAAGAAAGCGUAAUAGCUCACUGGUCGAGUCGGCCUGCGCGGAAGAUGUAACGGGGCUAAACCAUGCACCGAAGCUGCGGCAGCGACACUAUGUGUUGUUGGGUAGGGGAGCGUUCUGUAAGCCUGCGAAGGUGACCUGUGAGGGUUGCUGGAGGUAUCAGAAGUGCGAAUGCUGACAUAAGUAACGAUAAAGCGGGUGAAAAGCCCGCUCGCCGGAAGACCAAGGGUUCCUGUCCAACGUUAAUCGGGGCAGGGUGAGUCGACCCCUAAGGCGAGGCCGAAAGGCGUAGUCGAUGGGAAACAGGUUAAUAUUCCUGUACUUGGUGUUACUGCGAAGGGGGGACGGAGAAGGCUAUGUUAGCCGGGCGACGGUUGUCCCGGUUUAAGCAUGUAGGCUGAUUGUCCAGGCAAAUCCGGAUAAUCAAGGCUGAGGUGUGAUGACGAGGCACUACGGUGCUGAAGUAACAAAUGCCCUGCUUCCAGGAAAAGCCUCUAAGCAUCAGGUAACAUCAAAUCGUACCCCAAACCGACACAGGUGGUCAGGUAGAGAAUACCAAGGCGCUUGAGAGAACUCGGGUGAAGGAACUAGGCAAAAUGGUGCCGUAACUUCGGGAGAAGGCACGCUGGUGUGUAGGUGAAGUCCCUGCGGAUGGAGCUGAGACCAGUCGAAGAUACCAGCUGGCUGCAACUGUUUAUUAAAAACACAGCACUGUGCAAACACGAAAGUGGACGUAUACGGUGUGACGCCUGCCCGGUGCCGGAAGGUUAAUUGAUGGGGUUAUCCGUAAGGAGAAGCUCUUGAUCGAAGCCCCGGUAAACGGCGGCCGUAACUAUAACGGUCCUAAGGUAGCGAAAUUCCUUGUCGGGUAAGUUCCGACCUGCACGAAUGGCGUAAUGAUGGCCAGGCUGUCUCCACCCGAGACUCAGUGAAAUUGAACUCGCUGUGAAGAUGCAGUGUACCCGCGGCAAGACGGAAAGACCCCGUGAACCUUUACUAUAGCUUGACACUGAACAUUGAGCCUUGAUGUGUAGGAUAGGUGGGAGGCUUUGAAGCGUGGACGCCAGUCUGCGUGGAGCCAACCUUGAAAUACCACCCUUUAAUGUUUGAUGUUCUAACGUUGGCCCCUUACCGGGGUUGCGGACAGUGUCUGGUGGGUAGUUUGACUGGGGCGGUCUCCUCCCAAAGCGUAACGGAGGAGCACGAAGGUUAGCUAAUCCUGGUCGGACAUCAGGAGGUUAGUGCAAUGGCAUAAGCUAGCUUGACUGCGAGCGUGACGGCGCGAGCAGGUGCGAAAGCAGGUCAUAGUGAUCCGGUGGUUCUGAAUGGAAGGGCCAUCGCUCAACGGAUAAAAGGUACUCCGGGGAUAACAGGCUGAUACCGCCCAAGAGUUCAUAUCGACGGCGGUGUUUGGCACCUCGAUGUCGGCUCAUCACAUCCUGGGGCUGAAGUAGGUCCCAAGGGUAUGGCUGUUCGCCAUUUAAAGUGGUACGCGAGCUGGGUUUAGAACGUCGUGAGACAGUUCGGUCCCUAUCUGCCGUGGGCGCUGGAGAAUUGAGGGGGGCUGCUCCUAGUACGAGAGGACCGGAGUGGACGCAUCACUGGUGUUCGGGUUGUCAUGCCAAUGGCACUGCCCGGUAGCUAAAUGCGGAAGAGAUAAGUGCUGAAAGCAUCUAAGCACGAAACUUGCCCCGAGAUGAGUUCUCCCUGAGACUUUAAGUCUCCUGAAGGAACGUU